CCUACGGGUGGCAGCAGUCGAGAAUAUUUCACAAUGGGGGAAACCCUGAUGGUGCGAUGCCGCGUGGAGGAAUGAAGGUCUUCGGAUUGUAAACCCCUGUCAUGUGGGGGCAAAUUACAAAGAUAGUAACACAAGCGGAAGAGACGGCUAACUCUGUGACAGCAGCCGCGGUAAUACAGAGGUCUCACGCGUUGUUCGGAAGUACUGGGCGUAAAGCGUGCGUAGGCGGUUUCGUAAGUCGGAUGUGAAAGGCGCGGGCUCAACCCGGGGACGGCACCUGAUACCGCGGAUCUAGAGUGAUGGAGAGGGAGGCGGAAUUCUCGGUGUAGCAGUGAAAUGCGUAGAGAUCGAGAGGAACACUCGUGGCGAAGGCGGCUUCCUGGACAAUAACUGACGCUGAGGCACGAAGGCCAGGGGAGCGAAAAGGAUUAGAUACCCUUGUAGUC
This 446-nucleotide ribosomal RNA is filed under the name uncultured bacterium. Its description in RNAcentral is "partial 16S ribosomal RNA". It matches the Rfam family "Bacterial small subunit ribosomal RNA", at positions 338 to 795 of the family's 1533-position model. The record is from RNAcentral.